UACGUAGGGUGCAAGCGUUGUCCGGAAUUAUUGGGCGUAAAGAGCUUGUAGGCGGUUUGUCGCGUCUGCUGUGAAAUUUCGGGGCUCAACCCCGAACUUGCAGUGGGUACGGGCAGACUAGAGUGUGGUAGGGGAGACUGGAAUUCCUGGUGUAGCGGUGAAAUGCGCAGAUAUCUGGAGGAAUACCGGUGGCGAAGGCGGCAUCCUGGACCGGCAUUGACGCUGAUGAGCGAAAGCUAGGGGAGCAAACGGG
This 253-nucleotide ribosomal RNA is filed under the name uncultured bacterium. Its description in RNAcentral is "partial 16S ribosomal RNA". It matches the Rfam family "Bacterial small subunit ribosomal RNA", at positions 524 to 776 of the family's 1533-position model. The record is from RNAcentral.